CGAACGCUGGCGGCGUGCCUAACACAUGCAAGUCGAACGGAGACCGAUGAAGUAGCAAUACUUUAUCGGAAUUAGUGGCGGACGGGUGAGUAACACGUAGGUAACCUACCCCUGGGCGGGGGACAACUCCGGGAAACCGGAGCUAAUACCGCAUAAGACCACGGAUUGAGAUAUCUGCGGGAAAAGUGGUAACACACCUGGGGAUGGGCCUGCGGCCUAUCAGGUAGUUGGUGAGGUAAUAGCUCACCAAGCCAAAGACGGGUAGCCGGGCUGAGAGGUUGAACGGCCACACUGGAACUGAGACACGGUCCAGACUCCUACGGGAGGCAGCAGUGGGGAAUCUUGCGCAAUGGGGGAAACCCUGACGCAGCGACGCCGCGUGGAGGAUGAAGGUCUUCGGGUUGUAAACUCCUUUUCUCAGGAAAAAUGAUGAUGGUACCUGAGGAAUAAGCCACGGCUAACUCU
This 465-nucleotide ribosomal RNA is filed under the name uncultured bacterium. RNAcentral's name for it is "bacterial SSU rRNA". It matches the Rfam family "Bacterial small subunit ribosomal RNA", at positions 30 to 504 of the family's 1533-position model. The record is from RNAcentral.